Molecule: transfer RNA, 72 nt
Organism: Camelus ferus (Wild Bactrian camel)
Lineage: Eukaryota; Metazoa; Chordata; Mammalia; Artiodactyla; Camelidae
Rfam family: tRNA
About the family: Transfer RNA (tRNA) molecules are approximately 80 nucleotides in length. Their secondary structure includes four short double-helical elements and three loops (D, anti-codon, and T loops).
Source: Rfam
GAGGAUAUAGCUCAGGGGUAGAGCAUGAGCUUAGCAUGCACGAGGUCCUGGGUUCAAUCCCCAGUACCUCCA